Molecule: non-coding RNA, 45 nt
Organism: Schistosoma rodhaini
Lineage: Eukaryota; Metazoa; Platyhelminthes; Trematoda; Strigeidida; Schistosomatidae
Source: Rfam
AUCCAGCUGAUGAAUCCCAAAUAGGAUGGAACGCACUUCCUGGAU